GCCGCCAACUGUCCCACGCACCCUCACCUACCUCAUUCACGGGGCUCUGCCUGUCCCAUAUCAGAGAACAUGGUCUGACCCUGAGCUCUUUUCAAGCGUCUGAGCCAUCGUGAUAGCCUCUCCUCCUGCACUUUGUCCCUGGCCCGUUUUCUUAUCUGCAAAAUAAAGAGAAACCCAACCCGUGCUCUAGCCAUGACCGUGGAACCGAGAUAUCUCCCAGGUCGUGAGAACCUGGGGCUGUGGAGGCUUGAACCCCUAGACCAGGACCCUAAGGUCCCAAUGGCCACCCUUUCUUCAUGACAGGGUUACAGCUAUCCGGACCGGCUGGUGCUGGACCAGGGAGGAGAGAUCUUUAAAACCUUACACUACCUCAGCAACCUCAUCCAGAGCAUUAAGACACCCCUGGGCACCAAAGAGAACCCCGCCCGGGUCUGCAGGGACCUCAUGGACUGUGAGCAAAAGAUGGUGGAUGGUACCUACUGGGUGGAUCCAAACCUUGGCUGCUCAUCUGACACCAUCGAGGUCUCCUGCAACUUCACGCAUGGUGGACAGACGUGUCUCAAGCCCAUCACGGCCUCCAAGGUCGAGUUUGCCAUCAGCCGGGUCCAGAUGAAUUUCCUGCACCUGCUAAGCUCCGAGGUGACCCAGCACAUCACCAUCCA
RNAcentral lists this small RNA (662 nucleotides) under Pongo abelii (Sumatran orangutan). RNAcentral's name for it is "processed transcript". The record is from RNAcentral. Lineage: Eukaryota; Metazoa; Chordata; Mammalia; Primates; Hominidae.